Molecule: long non-coding RNA, 741 nt
Organism: Clupea harengus (Atlantic herring)
Lineage: Eukaryota; Metazoa; Chordata; Actinopteri; Clupeiformes; Clupeidae
Exons: 5
Source: RefSeq, a predicted model, not a curated record
UUUUGAUUGAUCUUAGCCACACAGCCAGAUGAGGUGACAUACUCUGACGUCACCUUCAUCAAAACAGGACAUAGCCACCAGAAGCAAACCGACAGUGAUGGAGACGGUGUAACUGCCAUCUACUCUCAGGUCAAUCGGCCUAAAAAGGUCCCAGGAAAUGAACUGGACCCACCACCUCCAUCUGAUUCCAGUAAAAUCUCGACCCCGGCCAAACCUGACCCUGCCAACUCCUCACCACAGCAACAUCCAGAGAAAGAGAGCCGUUCUGGUAUCUCCCAGAGAUGCACAGUACUCUUACUCUCUGUGUGUGUUCUCCUGUUGGCCAUUGCUGUUACUAUGGUAGCGCUCUAUGCUGUGAACAUGGAUACAUAUUCAGACAUUACACAGAAGUUGGGAAUGCUGCAGAAGGAGUAUGAUAAUGCCACUGCCAUGACAAGGACUUUGGAGGCUAACCUUACAGGUAAAAAGAAUACCCCCCAGUGCACUUAUUGGAAACAUUAAAGGUUGAGUAUAAUAACAUUAGCAAUGAGAAAAUGACUGUGGAGACUCAACUUUGUGCUAAAAGCGGUGACAGACAUCAUCACAUUUGAAAAUACAAAUAUGAAAAGGGAGGAAACUUUUCAGAGGAAAUUGCUAAAAUAAAUUAAAUUGGGGUCAGGGUCUGAAAGUGUGCACAAGUGACUGACAAUUGAAUUAUAUUUUACAUAUAUUUUUGUCAUAUUUACAUUUUUUUUACAUACA